AUUGAACGCUGGCGGCAGGCCUAACACAUGCAAGUCGAACGAGUGGCGGACGGGUGAGUAAUGUCUGGGAAACUGCCUGAUGGAGGGGGAUAACUACUGGAAACGGUAGCUAAUACCGCAUACCAUCGGAUGUGCCCAGAUGGGAUUAGCUAGUAGGGGGGGUAAAGGCUCACCUAGGCGACGAUCCCUAGGUGGUCUGAGAGGAUGACCAGCAACAGUGGAACUGAAACACGGUGCAGACUACUGGGGGAGGCAGCAGUGGGGAAUAUGGCACGGUGGGAGGAAGGAUGAAGCAGCCAUGCCGGGUGGAUGAAGAAGGCCUGCGGGUUGUAAAGUACUUUCAGCGAGGAAGCGAUACCCACAGAAGAAGCACCGGCUAACUCCGUGCGAGCCGCCGGUAAUUC
This 404-nucleotide ribosomal RNA is filed under the name uncultured bacterium. Its description in RNAcentral is "partial 16S ribosomal RNA". It matches the Rfam family "Bacterial small subunit ribosomal RNA", at positions 29 to 526 of the family's 1533-position model. The record is from RNAcentral.